This 496-nucleotide ribosomal RNA is filed under the name uncultured bacterium. RNAcentral's name for it is "partial 16S ribosomal RNA". It matches the Rfam family "Bacterial small subunit ribosomal RNA", at positions 28 to 506 of the family's 1533-position model. The record is from RNAcentral.
GAUGAACGCUGGCGGCGUGCCUAAUACAUGCAAGUCGAGCGAACGGACGAGAAGCUUGCUUUUCUGAUGUUAGCGGCGGACGGGUGAGUAACACGUGGAUAACCUACCUAUAAGACUGGGAUAACUUCGGGAAACCGGAGCUAAUACCGGAUAAUAUUUUGAACCGCAUGGUUCAAAAGUGAAAGACGGUCUUGCUGUCACUUAUAGAUGGAUCCGCGCUGCAUUAGCUAGUUGGUAAGGUAACGGCUUACCAAGGCAACGAUGCAUAGCCGACCUGAGAGGGUGAUCGGCCACACUGGAACUGAGACACGGUCCAGACUCCUACGGGAGGCAGCAGUAGGGAAUCUUCCGCAAUGGGCGAAAGCCUGACGGAGCAACGCCGCGUGAGUGAUGAAGGUCUUCGGAUCGUAAAACUCUGUUAUUAGGGAAGAACAUAUGUGUAAGUAACUGUGCACAUCUUGACGGUACCUAAUCAGAAAGCCACGGCUAACUACGC